GGGCCCGCACAAGCGGAGGAACAUGUGGUUUAAUUCGAUGAUACGCGAGGAACCUUACCCGGGCUUGAAAUGUAGAGGAAUAACGAAGAAAUUUGUUAGCCAGCAAUGGUCUCUAUGUAGGUGCUGCAUGGUUGUCGUCAGCUCGUGCCGUGAGGUGUCGGCUUAAGUGCCAUAACGAGCGCAACCCCCAUUGUUAGUUACUAACAGGUCAAGCUGAGGACUCUAACAAGACUGCCAGCGUAAGCUGUGAGGAAGGUGGGGAUGACGUCAAAUCAGCACGGCCCUUACGUCCGGGGCGACACACGUGUUACAAUGGGGGGUACAAAGGGUUGCUACCUGGUGACAGGAUGCUAAUCUCAAAAGCCUCUCCCAGUUCGGAUCGGAGUCUGCAACUCGACUCCGUGAAGCUGGAUUCGCUAGUAAUCGCGCAUCAGCCAUGGCG
Molecule: ribosomal RNA, 442 nt
Filed under: uncultured Bacteroidota bacterium
Lineage: Bacteria; Pseudomonadati; Bacteroidota
Description: bacterial SSU rRNA
Rfam family: Bacterial small subunit ribosomal RNA
Source: RNAcentral